RNAcentral lists this long non-coding RNA (341 nucleotides) under Fukomys damarensis (Damara mole-rat). Its description in RNAcentral is "lncRNA (ENSFDAG00000025775.1)". Lineage: Eukaryota; Metazoa; Chordata; Mammalia; Rodentia; Bathyergidae. The record is from RNAcentral.
AAAUGAUUAUGAGUAGUCUUUUUCAGUAAAAUGUUUCUACUUUUGUCUUUUGUUAAAUAGAAAUGAAACCACUAUCACUGUGAAAUUUACCACUCGCUUCCUUCGACCUGCUGAAGCUUCAUUGCUAUUAAUUUCAAAACCUAGGCAUGGAGUGGGAGGCAUUACCAUGACUUUUGCUUUAAAGGGAGAGAUCCUCAAUAUUAAAGCAAUUGAAAUUCUUAAAUGCGAAACUCCAUGUUAUCAAUGGAAGCAAGUCAUUGUACCUUUGAAAAACCCCUUCCCAACUGGUGGAAACUUUAAGUAAGUUAUUGGGUUUUUAAAAUUUUAAUUUUGUUUGCUAC